GAUGAACGCUGGCGGCGUGCCUAAUACAUGCAAGUCGAGCGAACGGACGAGAAGCUUGCUUCUCUGAUGUUAGCGGCGGACGGGUGAGUAACACGUGGAUAACCUACCUAUAAGACUGGGAUAACUUCGGGAAACCGUAGCUAAUACCGGAUAAUAUUUUGAACCGCAUGGUUCAAAAGUGAAAGACGGUCUUGCUGUCACUUAUAGAUGGAUCCGCGCUGCAUUAGCUAGUUGGUAAGGUAACGGCUUACCAAGGCAACGAUGCAUAGCCGACCUGAGAGGGUGAUCGACCACACGGGAACUGAGACACGGUCCAGACUCCUACGGGAGGCAGCAGUCGGGAAUCUUCCGCAAUGGGCGAAAGCCUGACGGAGCAACGCCGCGUGAGUGAUGAAGGUCUUCGGAUCGUAAAACUCUGUUAUUAGGGAAGAGCAUAUGUGUAAGUAACUGUGCACAUCUUGACGGUACCUAAUCAGAAAGCCACGGCUAACUACGUG
RNAcentral lists this ribosomal RNA (497 nucleotides) under uncultured bacterium. RNAcentral's name for it is "partial 16S ribosomal RNA". It matches the Rfam family "Bacterial small subunit ribosomal RNA", at positions 28 to 507 of the family's 1533-position model. The record is from RNAcentral.